AGAAUUUUUAUAAGUCACGGAUUAUUUUAAAAUCACAAAUCAUAAAUUUUAUAGGUCACAGUUUAUUUCGAAGUCACAAAUCUUAAAAUUACAAGUCGCGGAUUAUCAAAAUUCUAGGUUACAAUUAACCAGCUGGUUAGAGAUAACUAAAUGGGUGGUCACAUAAACCAAAUAGUGGUCACAUACCACCAUCACCAACGCUAACACACCACUACUACCAUCACAACCACCCUCACCCCGUUAUCAUCGUCGCUACCACAACAGUAUCAUUUCCAAACCACCAAAAAAAUUGUCCCAAAGCUACCUAUCACUUGUUGUUGUCUUCCGACUAGAUCGAGUCAUUGUGACAUUGCCGGCUACACAAACAUUCUCAAAAUUACCACUGGACACAACACCCACCACCACCCCACCCAUCAAUAACACUAUCUUAAAAAUCACAUUUUCAAAAUCACCACACCACCGUCUAGUCAUCCAACAGAAUCGAUAAAAGUCUAAUCCACCUUCAGCUAAAGAAAAGCUAGAUUCCCCAACUUUAAUUACAAUAGAUCUGUCCCUAUCCACCUCUUCGCAGCCUGAGAAACGCAAAGCCCAUUUAGCGCCUGCUUUAGAGACACUGACUAAGAAAAUCCAAUUCUCUGUGAAUGAGAUCCAUCAACCCUCAUUGGCUUCUUCGAGGGACUUUUUUGCAAGACCAAGAGAUUCGGACUCACUGUUUGUGGCAGCACUUGCACUUGCACUUGCGCUCACGACGACGAAGGUAUUGGCCAGCACAAAAAAGAGAACAAGGAUCGAAGAGAGAUGGAGAAGAAGUCCAUUUGAGAGAGAGAGAGAGAGGCGAGAAGUGAGAGAAAGAAAAAAAGAUGAAAAUGAUUAGGGUUUGGAAGUUCAAUUUGAU
RNAcentral lists this long non-coding RNA (895 nucleotides) under Olea europaea (common olive). RNAcentral's name for it is "long non-coding RNA (OEUR_LNC000543)". The record is from RNAcentral. Lineage: Eukaryota; Viridiplantae; Streptophyta; Magnoliopsida; Lamiales; Oleaceae.